GGAGGAAAAGAAACUAACAAGGAUUCCCCUAGUAACGGCGAGUGAAGCGGGAAGAGCUCAAAUUUGAAAUCUGGUAGCCUUCGGUUGCCCGAGUUGUAAUCUAGAGAAGUGUUUUCCGUGCCGGCCCAUGUACAAGUCCCUUGGAACAGGGCGUCAUAGAGGGUGAGAAUCCCGUCCUUGACAUGGACCCCCGGUGCUUUGUGAUACACUUUCAACGAGUCGAGUUGUUUGGGAAUGCAGCUCAAAAUGGGUGGUGAAUUCCAUCUAAAGCUAAAUAUUGGCGAGAGACCGAUAGCGAACAAGUACCGUGAGGGAAAGAUGAAAAGCACUUUGGAAAGAGAGUUAAACAGUACGUGAAAUUGUUGAAAGGGAAACGAUUGAAGUCAGUCAUGCUCUUUGGUUUAAGCCGUUCUGCGGUGUAUAUCAUUGAGUGGGGUCAACAUCAGUUUUGAUCGAUGGAUAAAGGCACUAGGAAGGUAGCACUCUCGGGUGAACUUAUAGCCUGGCGUCAUAUACAUUGGUUGGGACUGAGGAACGCAGCAUGCCUUCGGGCCGGGAUUCGUCCACGUACAUGCUUAGGAUGUUGACAUAAUGGCUUUAAACGACCCGUCUUGAA
RNAcentral lists this ribosomal RNA (616 nucleotides) under Cryptococcus sp. T4-9-5. Its description in RNAcentral is "eukaryotic LSU rRNA". It matches the Rfam family "Eukaryotic large subunit ribosomal RNA", at positions 52 to 658 of the family's 3401-position model. Lineage: Eukaryota; Fungi; Basidiomycota; Tremellomycetes; Tremellales; Cryptococcaceae. The record is from RNAcentral.